UACUUUACAGUUCGUGGUCCCUUAUUUCUUGAGUGCUUGUUCACGGAACUAAAGUUGGGGCUGCAUUCUAUAUCUGAAUCCCUAUUUUAUCUAAAGGGCAAUUGCUAAAACCACUUUCCAUAAUGAAAGGUCUCUUCUUCUAGAGCUUGAAGAUAUCUUUUUUAUAGUCAAAGGAUUUCACUUUCAACAAAAGAUGACACCGU
Molecule: long non-coding RNA, 203 nt
Filed under: Nicotiana benthamiana
Lineage: Eukaryota; Viridiplantae; Streptophyta; Magnoliopsida; Solanales; Solanaceae
Description: long non-coding RNA (NBEN_LNC034501)
Source: RNAcentral